RNAcentral lists this non-coding RNA (235 nucleotides) under Pseudoselenomonas ruminantium. RNAcentral's name for it is "Selenomonas ruminantium T-box sequence". It matches the Rfam family "T-box leader". From Rfam's summary of the family: Uncharged tRNA acts as the effector for transcription antitermination of genes in the T-box leader family. T-boxes are found upstream of many aminoacyl-tRNA synthetase genes and some amino acid biosynthetic genes usually in Gram-positive bacteria. The record is from RNAcentral. Lineage: Bacteria; Bacillati; Bacillota; Negativicutes; Selenomonadales; Selenomonadaceae.
AGCAGGGCAAUGACUAAGAGGAGUAGGGCUGCGGCUGUGGCAUAGAGAGGAAACGGUUGGUGGAAGUUUCCCCAUGGCAGGUUUGAAGGUCGCUUAGGAGCUUCUGUGCUGAAUGAAGUAGGUGCAGACGUCUGGCCGCGUUAAGGCUUAGAGCUGACUUGUCAACUUGACAUGUCAAAUUGACGGGUCAGAAAACAUUGGUGGUACCACGAAAGUAUGCGCUUUCGUCCUUUGG